This 440-nucleotide ribosomal RNA is filed under the name uncultured bacterium. RNAcentral describes it as "partial 16S ribosomal RNA". It matches the Rfam family "Bacterial small subunit ribosomal RNA", at positions 338 to 795 of the family's 1533-position model. The record is from RNAcentral.
CCUACGGGAGGCAGCAGUAGGGAAUAUUGCUCAAUGGGGGCAACCCUGAAGCAGCAACGCCGCGUGGAGGAUGAAGGUUUUCCGAUUUUAAACUCUUUUUGUUAGAGAAGUUAAUGACGGUAUCUAACGAAUAAUCACCGGCUAACUCCGUGCCAGCAGCCGCGGUAAUACGGAGGGUGCAAGCGUUACUCGGAAUCACUGGGCGUAAAGGGCGCGUAGAUGGGAUAGCAAGUCAGUUGUGAAAUUUUACGGCUUAACCAUAAAAUUGCAUUUGAUACUGUUAGCCUAGAGUAUGGUUGAGGUAGGUGGAAUUCGUGGUGUAGGGGUAAAAUGCGUAGAUAUCAAGAAGAAUACUGAUUGCGAAGGCAGCCUACUAAACUAUCACUGACACUGAUGCGCGAAAGUGUGGGUAGCAAACAGGAUUAGAUACCCCUGUAGUC